Molecule: transfer RNA, 79 nt
Filed under: Cronartium ribicola 11-2
Lineage: Eukaryota; Fungi; Basidiomycota; Pucciniomycetes; Pucciniales; Coleosporiaceae
Description: tRNA-Ser (AGA) (tRNA-Ser-AGA-22-1)
Rfam family: tRNA
About the family: Transfer RNA (tRNA) molecules are approximately 80 nucleotides in length. Their secondary structure includes four short double-helical elements and three loops (D, anti-codon, and T loops). Further hydrogen bonds mediate the characteristic L-shaped molecular structure. tRNAs have two regions of fundamental functional importance: the anti-codon, which is responsible for specific mRNA codon recognition, and the 3' end, to which the tRNAs corresponding amino acid is attached (by aminoacyl-tRNA synthetases). tRNAs cope with the degeneracy of the genetic code in two manners: having more than one tRNA (with a specific anti-codon) for a particular amino acid; and 'wobble' base-pairing, i.e. permitting non-standard base-pairing at the 3rd anti-codon position.
Source: RNAcentral
AGUUGGAUAGCCAAGUGGUUAAGGCAGCACACCUAGAAAGCUACCACUGAGGUCCCUGGUUUGAAUCCGGGUCUGAUCA